RNAcentral lists this ribosomal RNA (224 nucleotides) under uncultured bacterium. Its description in RNAcentral is "partial 16S ribosomal RNA". It matches the Rfam family "Bacterial small subunit ribosomal RNA", at positions 15 to 230 of the family's 1533-position model. The record is from RNAcentral.
GAUCAUGGCUCAGGAUGAACGCUAGCGACAGGCUUAACACAUGCAAGUCGAGGGGCAGCAUGGUCUUAGCUUGCUAAGACUGAUGGCGACCGGCGCACGGGUGAGUAACACGUAUCCAACCUGCCGUCUACUCUUGGACAGCCUUCUGAAAGGAAGAUUAACACAAGAUGGCAUCAUGAGUCCGCAUGUUCACAUGAUUAAAGGUAUUCCGGUAGACGAUGGGG